Molecule: unclassified non-coding RNA, 196 nt
Filed under: uncultured fungus
Lineage: Eukaryota; Fungi
Description: sequence contains ITS1
Source: RNAcentral
GUAUAUUAUAGUGCUCAGCACAAGAUUAUUUCAUUACAUUUGUGUGUAAAAUCCUCUACCAGCCGAAGCUAGCAAAGGCCAAUGGUUCACAAGAGGGGUAUUGGAUAUAUGUCCCCAACGUGCACAUGCAAGAGCCAGCACUGAAGGUAGACAAUUAAUAUCAAUAAUGAUCCUUCCGCAGGUUCACCUACGGAAA